AUGCCGCGUGCAGGAAGACUGCCCUAUGGGUUGUAAACUGCUUUUAUACAGGAAGAAACCCUCCCACGUGUGGAGGGCUGACGGUACUGUACGAAUAAGGACCGGCUAACUCCGUGCCAGCAGCCGCGGUAAUACGGAGGAUGCAAGCGUUAUCCGGAAUCAUUGGGUUUAAAGGGUCCGUAGGUGGACAAUUAAGUCAGAGGUGAAAUCCUGUAGCUCAACUGUGGAAUUGCCUUUGAUACUGGUUGUCUUGAGUUAUUGUGAAGUAGUUAGAAUGUGUAGUGUAGCGGUGAAAUGCAUAGAUAUUACACAGAAUACCGAUUGCGAAGGCAGAUUACUAAUAAUAUACUGACACUGAUGGACGAAAGCGUGGGGAGCGAACAGGAUUAGAUACCCUGGUAGUCCACGCCGUAAACGAUGGAUACUA
This 427-nucleotide ribosomal RNA is filed under the name Olleya marilimosa. RNAcentral's name for it is "bacterial SSU rRNA". It matches the Rfam family "Bacterial small subunit ribosomal RNA", at positions 394 to 818 of the family's 1533-position model. Lineage: Bacteria; Pseudomonadati; Bacteroidota; Flavobacteriia; Flavobacteriales; Flavobacteriaceae. The record is from RNAcentral.